GUACACUCCUACGGGAGGCAGCAGUGGGGAAUUUUGGACAAUGGGCGAAAGCCUGAUCCAGCAAUGCCGCGUGAGUGAAGAAGGCCUUCGGGUUGUAAAGCUCUUUUGUCAGGGAAGAAACGGUGAAAGCUAAUAUCUUUUGCUAAUGACGGUACCUGAAGAAUAAGCACCGGCUAACUACGUGCCAGCAGCCGCGGUAAUACGUAGGGUGCAAGCGUUAAUCGGAAUUACUGGGCGUAAAGCGUGCGCAGGCGGUUUUGUAAGUCUGAUGUGAAAUCCCCGGGCUCAACCUGGGAAUUGCAUUGGAGACUGCAAGGCUAGAAUCUGGCAGAGGGGGGUAGAAUUCCACGUGUAGCAGUGAAAUGCGUAGAUAUGUGGAGGAACACCGAUGGCGAAGGCAGCCCCCUGGGUCAAGAUUGACGCUCAUGCACGAAAGCGUGGGGGGCAAACAGGAUUAGAAACCCGAGUAGUCC
RNAcentral lists this ribosomal RNA (473 nucleotides) under uncultured organism. RNAcentral describes it as "partial 16S ribosomal RNA". It matches the Rfam family "Bacterial small subunit ribosomal RNA", at positions 331 to 796 of the family's 1533-position model. The record is from RNAcentral.